AUGGCUCAGAUUGAACGCUGGCGGCAGGCCUAACACAUGCAAGUCGAGCGGAAACGAUGGAAGCUUGCUUCCAGGCGUCGAGCGGCGGACGGGUGAGUAAUGCAUGGGAAUCUGCCCGAUAGUGGGGGAUAACCUGGGGAAACCCAGGCUAAUACCGCAUACGUCCUACGGGAGAAAGCAGGGGAUCUUCGGACCUUGCGCUAUCGGAUGAGCCCAUGUCGGAUUAGCUUGUUGGUGAGGUAAUGGCUCACCAAGGCGACGAUCCGUAGCUGGUCUGAGAGGAUGAUCAGCCACAUCGGGACUGAGACACGGCCCGAACUCCUACGGGAGGCAGCAGUGGGGAAUAUUGGACAAUGGGCGAAAGCCUGAUCCAGCCAUGCCGCGUGUGUGAAGAAGGCCCUCGGGUUGUAAAGCACUUUCAGUGGGGAAGAAAGCCUUGGGAUUAAUACUCCCGAGGAAGGACAUCACCCACAGAAGAAGCACCGGCUAACUCCGUGCCAGCAGCCGCGGUAAUACGGAGGGUGCGAGCGUUAAUCGGAAUUACUGGGCGUAAAGCGCGCGUAGGCGGUCUGAUAAGCCGGUUGUGAAAGCCCCGGGCUCAACCUGGGAACGGCAUCCGGAACUGUCAGGCUAGAGUGCAGGAGAGGAAGGUAGAAUUCCCGGUGUAGCGGUGAAAUGCGUAGAGAUCGGGAGGAAUACCAGUGGCG
This 707-nucleotide ribosomal RNA is filed under the name Planococcus maritimus. RNAcentral describes it as "bacterial SSU rRNA". It matches the Rfam family "Bacterial small subunit ribosomal RNA", at positions 19 to 717 of the family's 1533-position model. Lineage: Bacteria; Bacillati; Bacillota; Bacilli; Caryophanales; Caryophanaceae. The record is from RNAcentral.